This 2758-nucleotide ribosomal RNA is filed under the name Aeromonas veronii bv. sobria. RNAcentral describes it as "bacterial LSU rRNA". It matches the Rfam family "Bacterial large subunit ribosomal RNA". Lineage: Bacteria; Pseudomonadati; Pseudomonadota; Gammaproteobacteria; Aeromonadales; Aeromonadaceae. The record is from RNAcentral.
GUUGUAUGGUUAAGUGACUAAGCGUACAUGGUGGAUGCCUUGGCAGUCAGAGGCGAUGAAGGACGUACUAACCUGCGAUAAGCUGUGAGAAGUCGGUAAGAGACGCUAUUACUCACAGAUUUCCGAAUGGGGAAACCCACCCGAGAUAACUCGGGUAUCUGUUACUGAAUACAUAGGUAACAGAGGCGAACCGGGAGAACUGAAACAUCUAAGUACCCCGAGGAAAAGAAAUCAACCGAGAUUCCCUCAGUAGCGGCGAGCGAACGGGGAUUAGCCCUUAAGCAUCUUGGAAGUUAGUGGAACGGUCCUGGAAAGGCCGGCGAUACAGGGUGAUAGCCCCGUACACGAAAACAACCUUGAUGUGAAAUCGAGUAGGGCGGGACACGUGACAUCCUGUCUGAAUAUGGGGGGACCAUCCUCCAAGGCUAAAUACUCCUGACUGACCGAUAGUGAACCAGUACCGUGAGGGAAAGGCGAAAAGAACCCCUGUGAGGGGAGUGAAAUAGAACCUGAAACCGUGUACGUACAAGCAGUGGGAGCCCUUCGGGGUGACUGCGUACCUUUUGUAUAAUGGGUCAGCGACUUACAUUUUGUAGCGAGGUUAACCGUAUAGGGGAGCCGUAGGGAAACCGAGUCUUAACUGGGCGUCUAGUUGCAAGGUGUAGACCCGAAACCGGGUGAUCUAGCCAUGGGCAGGUUGAAGGUUGAGUAACAUCAACUGGAGGACCGAACCCACUAACGUUGCAAAGUUAGGGGAUGACCUGUGGCUGGGGGUGAAAGGCCAAUCAAACUCGGAGAUAGCUGGUUCUCCCCGAAAGCUAUUUAGGUAGCGCCUCGGACGAAUACUACUGGGGGUAGAGCACUGUUUGGGCUAGGGGGUCAUCCCGACUUACCAACCCCAUGCAAACUCCGAAUACCAGUAAGUAAUAUCCGGGAGACACACGGCGGGUGCUAACGUCCGUCGUGAAGAGGGAAACAACCCAGACCGCCGGCUAAGGUCCCAAAGUUCUGGUUAAGUGGGAAACGAUGUGGGAAGGCUCAGACAGCUAGGAUGUUGGCUUAGAAGCAGCCAUCAUUUAAAGAAAGCGUAAUAGCUCACUAGUCGAGUCGGCCUGCGCGGAAGAUGUAACGGGGCUCAAACCAGGCACCGAAGCCGCGGAUUCACACUUAUGUGUGAGUGGUAGGGGAGCGUUCUGUAAGUCUGCGAAGGUGUAUCGAGAGGUAUGCUGGAGAUAUCAGAAGUGCGAAUGCUGACGUAAGUAACGAUAAAGGGGGUGAAAAGCCUCCUCGCCGGAAGACCAAGGGUUCCUGUCCAACGUUAAUCGGGGCAGGGUGAGUCGACCCCUAAGGCGAGGCCGAAAGGCGUAGUCGAUGGGAAGCAGGUUAAUAUUCCUGCACGACUUGUAAUUGCGAUGGGGGGACGGAGAAGGCUAGGUGGGCCAGGCGACGGUUGUCCUGGUGAAAGUGCGUAGGUGGUGUUUCUAGGCAAAUCCGGAGACACAACACUGAGACACGAGACGAACACACUACGGUGUGGAAGCCAUUGAUGCCCUGCUUCCAGGAAAAGCCUCUAAGCUUCAGAUUACAAGUCAUCGUACCCCAAACCGACACAGGUGGUCGGGUAGAGAAUACCAAGGCGCUUGAGAGAACUCGGGUGAAGGAACUAGGCAAAAUAGAACCGUAACUUCGGGAGAAGGUUCGCUCUUGACAGUGAAGUCCCUUGCGGAUGGAGCAGUUGGGAGUCGCAGUGACCAGAUGGCUGGGACUGUUUAUCAAAAACACAGCACUCUGCAAACACGAAAGUGGACGUAUAGGGUGUGACACCUGCCCGGUGCCGGAAGGUUAAUUGAUGGGGUUAGCGCAAGCGAAGCUCUUGAUCGAAGCCCCGGUAAACGGCGGCCGUAACUAUAACGGUCCUAAGGUAGCGAAAUUCCUUGUCGGGUAAGUUCCGACCUGCACGAAUGGUGUAACCAUGGCCAUGCUGUCUCCACCCGAGACUCAGUGAAAUCGAAUUCGCCGUGAAGAUGCGGUGUACCCGCGGCUAGACGGAAAGACCCCGUGAACCUUUACUACAGCUUGGCACUGAACAUUGAACCUACAUGUGUAGGAUAGGUGGGAGGCUUUGAAGGCGUGACGCCAGUUGCGCUGGAGCCGUCCUUGAAAUACCACCCUUGUAUGUUUGAUGUUCUAACGCAGGGCCCUGAAUCUGGGUCGCGGACAGUGCCUGGUGGGUAGUUUGACUGGGGCGGUCUCCUCCCAAAGAGUAACGGAGGAGCACGAAGGUUGGCUAAUCCUGGUCGGACAUCAGGAGGUUAGUGCAAUGGCAUAAGCCAGCUUAACUGCGAGACGGACAGGUCGAGCAGGUACGAAAGUAGGUCAUAGUGAUCCGGUGGUUCUGAAUGGAAGGGCCAUCGCUCAACGGAUAAAAGGUACUCCGGGGAUAACAGGCUGAUACCGCCCAAGAGUUCAUAUCGACGGCGGUGUUUGGCACCUCGAUGUCGGCUCAUCACAUCCUGGGGCUGAAGUCGGUCCCAAGGGUAUGGCUGUUCGCCAUUUAAAGUGGUACGCGAGCUGGGUUCAGAACGUCGUGAGACAGUUCGGUCCCUAUCUGCCGUGGGCGUUGGAUGAUUGAAGGGAGUUGCUCCUAGUACGAGAGGACCGGAGUGAACGAACCUCUGGUGUUCGGGUUGUCACGCCAGUGGCACUGCCCGGUAGCUAAGUUCGGAAUCGAUAACCGCUGAAAGCAUCUAAGCGUGAA